UACGUAGGUGACAAGCGUUGUCCGGAUUUACUGGGCGUAAAGAGCGCGCAGGCGGUCGAUCAAGUCGAGUGUGAAAGCCCCCGGCUCAACUGGGGAGGGUCAUUCGAUACUGAUCGACUCGAAGGCAGGAGAGGGUAGUGGAAUUCCCGGUGUAGUGGUGAAAUGCGUAGAUAUCGGGAGGAACACCAGAGGCGAAGGCGGGCUACUGGGCUGAUACUGACGCUGAUGCGCGAAAGCUAGGGGAGCAAACGGG
Molecule: ribosomal RNA, 253 nt
Filed under: uncultured bacterium
Lineage: Bacteria
Description: partial 16S ribosomal RNA
Rfam family: Bacterial small subunit ribosomal RNA
Source: RNAcentral